UACAGAGGUCCCGGGCGUUGUUCGGAUUCAUUGGGCGUAAAGGUGCGUAGGCGGUUGGGUAAGUCUGACGUGAAAUCUCCGGGCCUAACCCGGAAACUGCGUUGGAUACUAUCCGGCUAGAGGAAUGGAGGGGAGACUGGAAUACUUGGUGUAGCAGUGAAAUGCGUAGAUAUCAAGUGGAACACCAGUGGCGAAGGCGAGUCUCUGGACAUUUCCUGACGCUGAGGCACGAAAGCCAGGGGAGCAAACGGG
This 252-nucleotide ribosomal RNA is filed under the name uncultured bacterium. RNAcentral describes it as "partial 16S ribosomal RNA". It matches the Rfam family "Bacterial small subunit ribosomal RNA", at positions 524 to 776 of the family's 1533-position model. The record is from RNAcentral.